This is a long non-coding RNA of Suricata suricatta (meerkat), 329 nucleotides long. RefSeq lists it as uncharacterized. The transcript is spliced from 3 exons. The record is from RefSeq and is a predicted model, not a curated record. NCBI's taxonomy places the organism in Eukaryota, Metazoa, Chordata, Mammalia, Carnivora, Herpestidae.
UAGAACAAAGCGAACUGUGCGGGGCCCGAAGGAUCGUGGACACAGUGUUGGAGAAUGACAAGAUGGAGUGCCUACAGCAGUCUGCCAUCCACAAUAGAUGAUCACUGCAUGCUUGUUGAUCGACUUCAUAAAAGACCCUGAGGUUUCUCAUAAGCAAGAUGGGAUUAAGCAUGUCCUGCGUCCCAGGUGGGAAUACCGAGGCCCGGAGCGAGCUAGAGCCUCCUUCCUGGGUGGCAGCUCUUCCCGCCAGCCCGGGCCAGCUCACCUCCCACAGAUGCCAAACCAAGUCUUGGCGCUCAACCCCGGCAAGGGCGCUUCUGACCCCAGCU